This is a long non-coding RNA of Dermacentor silvarum, 1759 nucleotides long. RefSeq lists it as uncharacterized. The transcript is spliced from 4 exons. The record is from RefSeq and is a predicted model, not a curated record. Lineage: Eukaryota; Metazoa; Arthropoda; Arachnida; Ixodida; Ixodidae.
CAGGCUAUUCGGCUUAGUCUGCUGUCCACGGCACCUGGCUGUUUUUUCGCUUUUCAUUCUUUUGUUCGAAACGUAGUGUCCGCUUGCUCAGUCUGUCAGAGACUGCAGCUAAAGGGCGUGGAUCGAAUUAGUUUGUCGUUUUGGUGAGUAUAUUUGUUACAGAGAUCCUGAUAACUAUACAUUUCCUGUACGCAAGAGUGCAACUGCUCAUCGAGAAGUAUCAUCUCCAGCUUUUCCUUGAUAUAGCUGGCAUAACGUACGUGUGAUCAUGCUAAGCAAUGGAACGGUGCUCAUUUUUCUGGUGGGCCUGUCGCUAAGUCGAGCCGUAUUUUAUUAUCCCGUGAAAGUUUAUCCACUUGUUGGCGUGCACACACAAGAUCAGAAGUGCUUAUACGGUAGCAGUCCCUUUACCUCCAGAAUCGACUUGCCGGGACAGUGUCAGAGGCUGUCCUGUUAUCCAGAAGAACAUGUUGUGGUGAAGCUUGAAUGUGCUGCGCCUCCGGCGGGAUGCUUUCGCGAUGCCCUUCCUAGAGCGUCUUUUCCACAUUGCUGUAGGACCAACUGCCCACAAAUACGCAAGUUCUCUUUUUCAAAUUUUCAUAUAGUUGAGUUAGGAACCCCCUGUUUGUCAAGUAAAGUGCGAUACAAAUACUUAGCCAUCACUGCAUUUCAUUUUUACUGAGAGAAUAUGGCGCUAAGUAAUCAUAAGUGUGAUAGCCGUGCUGUGCUAAGCCCGAUGCCGUUUCUGAUAGCGCGUCCCCACCAGUGCAUCACUCCUAGUAAGCCGUGCCGACAAGCACUGUAUGUAAUCGCCUAUUUCACUGAAUACACCAGUCUUGAAGUAGUAGUGGAUUUCGCCCGCAUACAGCCAAGCUCCUUUCUCGCGCCACCGAUGACCACGAUGAUGAUUUAUUGGCAUCUCCUUUGAAAUGUAGCGCUGACAAAUAUUCACCUAGCCUGCCUGAUUUACUCAGGUAUGCUGUACGUGCUUUUCAUACUAGCUUUUUUGUAUACAUCUCUUUAACCUUUCUUCUCUUCCCCCAAAUUUUUAUAUCUUGUAACGAUACACAUGCCUGUAACGAAUCUUUAUUUUUUCACCAAUACUUUAAACAUCCUUGCUUAUCUAGACGGCUGACCGGUUGAUGCUUCCGUACAUUUUAAAUCCAAGCGCUUCUGGAAGGCGUACGUUACCUACGAAUCUCGCUGGGUGAAUUCCUUCGCAUUCCAUUGGGAUGUGCUGAGUGGACUCCGCAUCUUUACUGCAGCAUACACGUACCUCAUCUAGUUCCGAAUAUUUAUUGCAGUGUGUUUUGUCCUUAGGCAACCAGCUGAAGCCUCAAAUAGCAAGGCACUUCCCUUCGUGUUAUCGCCGAGAUUUUCGCUUCUAGUUUGUUUCUUCACAUUCUGACAAAUUUCCAGAAUCUUUUUUGUUUCCUUUCUUUGCAUCCAACUUGCUGUGUCCGUUUGUUUUACUUUCUUGUCACUCAUGGUUGCCUAUUUACACUUUAAAUUACCCUGUACUUGGUUGCCGACUUUUUUGACCUGUUCCUUCAUUUUGUGUCCACGCUUUUCAGGUACAUACCACUUGUGCACUUUAGCCGCCUAUUUAUAAUGAUCCAUGUUCCUCAGUCUUUCUUGAAAACUAAGUUUGCUCUGCGUUUCAAUGACUUCAAACGAGGGCCAACCCAAUCUCCCUAGGCACGCUGCGCCAUAUAUUGCCGGCGCAACGAAAAUUUACACUUUGUUUUCAAUAUGCAUU